RNAcentral lists this ribosomal RNA (448 nucleotides) under uncultured bacterium. RNAcentral's name for it is "partial 16S ribosomal RNA". It matches the Rfam family "Bacterial small subunit ribosomal RNA", at positions 329 to 794 of the family's 1533-position model. The record is from RNAcentral.
GGCCAGACUCCUACGGGAGGCAGCAGUGGGGGAUAUUGCACAAUGGGGGGAACCCUGAGGCAGCGACGCCGCGUGGGUGAAGAAGCGCCUCGGCGCGUAAAGCCCUGUCAGCAGGGAAGAAAAUGACGGUACCUGAAGAAGAAGCCCCGGCUAACUACGUGCCAGCAGCCGCGGAAAUACGUAGGGGGCAAGCGUUACCCGGAUUUACUGGGUGUAAAGGGGGGGCAGACGGCGCUGCAAGCCAGGAGUGAAAGCCCGGGGCCCAACCCCGGGACUGCUCUUGGAACUGCGUGGCUGGAGUGCAGGAGGGGCAGGCGGAAUUCCUGGUGUAGCGGUGAAAUGCGUAGAUAUCAGGAGGAACACCGGUGGCGAAGGCGGCCUGCUGGACUGCAACUGACGUUGAGGCCCGAAAGCGUGGGGAGCAAACAGGAUUAGAUACCCGAGUAGG